RNAcentral lists this ribosomal RNA (551 nucleotides) under uncultured bacterium. Its description in RNAcentral is "bacterial SSU rRNA". It matches the Rfam family "Bacterial small subunit ribosomal RNA", at positions 777 to 1319 of the family's 1533-position model. The record is from RNAcentral.
AAUAGAUACCCCGGUAGUCCUGGCCCUAAACGAUGUCCACUAGAUUACGGCGCCUUUGACGGCGUCGUGGUCGAAGCAAAAGUGUUAAGUGGACCGCCUGGGAAGUACGGUCGCAAGGCUAAAACUCAAAGGAAUUGACGGGGGCUCACACAAGCGGUGGAGCAUGUGGUUCAAUUCGAAGCAACGCGCAGAACCUUACCUGGGCUUGACAUGCUCGGAUUACCCUCGUGAAAGCGAGGUAGGCCCCGCAAGGGGUACAACGAGUACAGGUGCUGCAUGGCUGUCGUCAGCCCGUGUCGUGAGAUGUCGGGUUAAGUCCCGCAACGAGCGCAACCCUCGUUCCAUGUUGCCAGCACUUCGGGUGGGGACUCAUAGGAGACUGCCGGGGUCAACUCGGAGGAAGGUGGGGAUGACGUCAAGUCCUCAUGCCCCUUAUGUCUUGGGCUGCAAACAUGCUACAAUGGCCGGUACAAAGGGUUGCGAGACCGCAAGGUGGAGCGAAUCCCGAAAAAGCCGGUCUCAGUUCGGAUUGGGGUCUGCAACUCGACCCC